ACUUUACUGCAAAUACAAACUUGACCCUGUCACACACUCAGAGGUGGAGCCAUGAGCAACCCCUCCAGCAAUGAAACAUUAUAUGAGUUGUUAUUAAGUAAGGAGUUGUUAUUAAGGAGCUGUUAUUAAGGAGUUGUUACCAAGGACUUGUCCUAUGCUUUUUAUUGGACGCGUGUGAUAGGCAUCGCGCUCGCUGAAGGUGUUUGCCAUCAGGGAAGUCGUGUACUGUAUACGCAACUGCACACAAUUCUGUUCUGUUCGGGUCUUCCUCAAGCCAUAAACCAUCAAGGGAGCAGACGCUUCGAUUCAUCUCAAAGGCGUCUGUCUGUCUACACUGUCCAUCCAGAGGGAGGGGCGGGUUCCCCCCCCCCCCCUUUGUACACGUUUCUGAUGCACAAAAAAAUUGUUAGUUUUUAAAGUUUAACCUUUCUCAUCUGACAGCGUAUCGUACCAUACGCAUAUAUGAUUCUGCUUGUGAUUCGGGGUAUUUGAUUUUAUUUCCAAGUGAAGAUGCUUUUUCGAGCGUAUGCAUAUUUUAUCACGUGCUGUGGGGAGAGACAAAGGUGGCCGGGAUCUUUCCUAUCUCUCUAUAUCUUGAGUUAACAUCGCUCAAAUAUCAUUUCGAUCUUAUAUUCAACCAGUUUGAUCCACCCCGUUAUCUUGGCUCUUAGUUUAUUAAUUUUCGUCAUUCUGUCUUAUCAUCAUAUAAAUGUAUUGCGAUUUCUCUUAACUUAAAACUCGCUUGCGUGGUUGUGGGGUGGGGCCAUUAUUGAGCCCACGUGCGUGUGCAGAUGGCCUGAUAAUGAUCUCUUUGCUCUGGCGUGAAAUUCCUUUCUCGCGCUCUGCGGGAGAUACAAAGGCGGUCGGGAGUACCUCUAUUUCUGGCUGCUUUCGGUUUAAUGUUUCUCAAAUAACAUUUGGUCUUAUCUUCACUAAGGCUCGUGUUUUGUAACUAUGUCCUCCCGACACACCUCUCGGGUUACCGAGAUUCGCAUUGUUAUGAUGGAGUUAUUAUUUAUUUUAUAAUAAAGAUGUUUAUCCUGAG
Petromyzon marinus (sea lamprey) is the source of this 1045-nucleotide non-coding RNA. The record is from RefSeq and is a predicted model, not a curated record. NCBI's taxonomy places the organism in Eukaryota, Metazoa, Chordata, Hyperoartia, Petromyzontiformes, Petromyzontidae.